Molecule: transfer RNA, 73 nt
Filed under: Ailuropoda melanoleuca (giant panda)
Lineage: Eukaryota; Metazoa; Chordata; Mammalia; Carnivora; Ursidae
Rfam family: tRNA
About the family: Transfer RNA (tRNA) molecules are approximately 80 nucleotides in length. Their secondary structure includes four short double-helical elements and three loops (D, anti-codon, and T loops). Further hydrogen bonds mediate the characteristic L-shaped molecular structure. tRNAs have two regions of fundamental functional importance: the anti-codon, which is responsible for specific mRNA codon recognition, and the 3' end, to which the tRNAs corresponding amino acid is attached (by aminoacyl-tRNA synthetases). tRNAs cope with the degeneracy of the genetic code in two manners: having more than one tRNA (with a specific anti-codon) for a particular amino acid; and 'wobble' base-pairing, i.e. permitting non-standard base-pairing at the 3rd anti-codon position.
Source: Rfam by way of RNAcentral
GCCUGGCUGGCUCAGUAGGUAGAGUGCAUGGCUCUUAAUCUCAGAGCUGUGAGUUCAAGCCUCACGUUGGGUG